This is a long non-coding RNA of Sinocyclocheilus anshuiensis, 171 nucleotides long. RefSeq lists it as uncharacterized. Lineage: Eukaryota; Metazoa; Chordata; Actinopteri; Cypriniformes; Cyprinidae. The transcript has 3 exons. The record is from RefSeq and is a predicted model, not a curated record.
UGCACUUCGGCAGACACAAAACAAAAGAAAUUAAUCUUAGCAAAUGAACGGUAGAAGAACUUGAUCGUCUUAAUAUUAUUCACGUGACUGGAACAAAAGGAAAGGGUUCAACGUGUGCCUUUACAGAACAGAUUUUGAGAAAGUAUGGCUUCCGGACUGGAUUCUACAGGU